AUUGCUGAAAUAAUCUUAAGAAAUGUAGAGUCAGGUAAUAUGAAAAUAUACUGCAACUUUGAGAAAACACAUAAGGUACAUUGAUGAUGUAAUAACAGUUUGGACAAAUUGGAAUAGCAUAGAAGAAUUUCAGCAAGAUUUGUCACAUGAAGAAUACGGACUAAAGAUCAAAAAUGAACAAUGCAGCAACCAACAAAUGCAUUUUCUAGAUUCGAGCAUAAAAAAGGAGGGAACAACAAUAGUAACAACAGUGUACAGAAAGCACUGUUACUACAGUGCAGUGUAAGCAGUGUACUUAUCAGCCCAUACUGAUCCCGAGCUGGUCACCCGACCCAGUUGUGCAAAAGGCCGCUGCAUUCAGAUAUUACUUCAAGAGGGCAUAUGAAUACACAGUAAGAAGCCAAGACCUGCAUGAGGAGCUCGACUACAUUUACAGAACGGGACAUGAGCACGGGUACUCCAAGAAGUUCCUCAACACCAUACACACCAAGAUCAAAGCAGCCGAGUGAUGAAGGGAGGAUUAAUACUAACAGGAUAAGCAGAGAUGAUGAUGAUUUUCUAAGUGUCCCAUAUCAAACUAAUAAGCUGGAAGUGAUAAAGGAAAUAGCAAGAAAAACAGGAAAAACAAUCACCACCAAAAGGCAACCAACAUCAUUCAACGUUCUUAGGAAUGA
This 674-nucleotide long non-coding RNA is filed under the name Androctonus crassicauda. The record is from RNAcentral. Lineage: Eukaryota; Metazoa; Arthropoda; Arachnida; Scorpiones; Buthidae.